GCCUGGUGCAAUGAUGCAAACUUAUAGUUUUAGCUACUUGAGGCAGGACAAUUACUUGAAGCAGGUGUUCUGGGCCAUAGUGCUCUAUGCUGAUUGGGUGUCCACACUAAUUUUGGCGUCAAUAUGGUGACAUCCCUUGAGAGGGGGAGCACCAAGUUGCCUAAGAAAAGGUAAUCUGGCCCAGGAAAGCAAGUCAAAGCGCCCGUGCUGAUCAGUAGUAGGGUAGUAACUGUGAAUAGACACUGAAUUCCAGUCUGGGCAACAUAGCAAGAGUUUGU
Molecule: signal recognition particle RNA, 278 nt
Filed under: Carlito syrichta (Philippine tarsier)
Lineage: Eukaryota; Metazoa; Chordata; Mammalia; Primates; Tarsiidae
Description: Metazoan signal recognition particle RNA (ENSTSYG00000025507.1)
Rfam family: Metazoan signal recognition particle RNA
About the family: The signal recognition particle (SRP) is a universally conserved ribonucleoprotein.
Source: Rfam by way of RNAcentral